AAUUCCCUUAUUUUCCAGGUGGGCGCCGUAUUACCAAAACUUGAAAUGUAUUCCCUUAUUUUCCAGGAGGGCGCCUGAUUACCAAAACAUGAACUGUAUUCCGUUGUUCUCUAGGUGGGCCCCUGAUUGCCAAAACUUGAACUGUAUUCCCUUAUUCUCCAGGUGGGCGCAUGAUUGCCAAAACUUGAACUGUAUUCCCUUGUUUUCUAGGUGGGCGCCUGAUUGCCAAACCUUGAACUGUAUUCCCUUGUUCUCCAGGUGGGCUCCUGAUUGCCAAAAACUUGAACUGUAUUCCCUUGUUUUCCAGGUUGGCGCCUAAUUGCCAAAAACAUAAACUAUAUUCCCUUGUUCUCUAGGUGGGUGUCUG
This 367-nucleotide long non-coding RNA is filed under the name Nicotiana tabacum (common tobacco). Its description in RNAcentral is "long non-coding RNA (NTAB_LNC010504)". Lineage: Eukaryota; Viridiplantae; Streptophyta; Magnoliopsida; Solanales; Solanaceae. The record is from RNAcentral.